AAGGAAGGGAGGAAGGGCUGCCAUGAACUAAUUCUUGUUUAGUUAGUUUAUGGGCAUUUUGGAAGGUUGAGUCCUGAAGUUACUAGAUCUCUAUUUUUGCCUGGGAGCCCCAGCCAUGGAACACAGUAGAAUUUUUUGUUCACACAAGCUGCCCGGACCAAACCUGACCAUGCCAUGCUGAACACAGGUGAUAAGCCAUAGCUGCUUGUUUGUAGAAACAGUUCGGAGGUUUUCUGAGUUCUGUUUCAGUUGGGGGGAAAAAUGAAUGUGAUUGACCAGACAAGAGUGGAAAGAAGGCCUGGGCAGUCCCAGAGAGCAAGCUCUCAUUCCUGAGGAGUCGACAGAAACGAGGCACAGCCGCCUGAGUGCCCCGCUUCCAUUCCGAGGAUCGUGAAUCCAAGCUUGAGGAGUUCGGCGUUCAAAGAAUGUUUCACAGCAAAGGAAGCUCGGCCACGACUGCAGAGAGGAAGUGAAAUGAUGAGAGGGGAACUGUUGGAGAAGAGAGCACCAAGGCGGACAUCAGGAAGGCAGAAUGGCCUGUCUUCCUUCUUGGGACAGCCUUCAAACAUCUCAUCAUGUAUUUCUGUUAGGAUGUCCCUAAUCCCAAAAUCUGAAGCUCAAGGUGCUCCCCAGUUCAAGGGUUUUUGAGCACUAACUUGACUCCGUGGUAAGUUCUACAGCUGGCCUUGUGUGAUCCAUCAGUCAGAACACAGCUCCAUUAAAACUACCAUGUAGACUUACCAUCAGCCACGUGUACAGGGUACCUGAGGGACUGAAAUGAACUGCAUGUUUAGACUUGAGAUUCAUCCUCAAGACUCAUAUUUAUUCAGAUAUUCCAAAUUUAUUUUAAAAGCAGAUUCCGAUCCAGAGCCUUUCAGGUAAAGGGUCUCUCUGACUUGCGUGACUGUUGGUAGGGUUCACUGUGACCAUGUAGGUCAAGCUAUCUGGCUGGUUCAACAGUUGGAUUGGUUCCCUUGGUUUUUGAAUUAGCUAAGUCCAUAGUGCUUGUCACUGCAGAUGAAGCAACUUAGAGUCUUAUCCUCCAGGAUAACCAGGUAAGAAAUAGUGUUUGGCCAUUUCGGUUGAAACCCAGGGUGACAUUCAAUGCAGCUGUGAUAACAGCAAAAAUCUGAUCUCUUCUAAAACUGUGAGUAGCACUGGAAACACUUCCACCUCUGGUUGAAUGUACUUGACCGAAGGUGGCUUCCUUGGAAUAAAUACAUGCAUUUUAUUUUUUAAGGAUUGUCUAUAUAGAUAGCAUUCAUUAAGUAUGGGCAUUGUUGGUGAAUGCUUCCCAGGAUAGAUGUUUAUAUAGUGGAAAUACAAAAGAUUUAUUAAAAGAUACGCCAAAGAUUAUUUUUUAGCCUACAUGCCAAUGCACAUAAUCUUAUGUAAGACACCAAAGGAAGUUGUUCAAAUCUGUAAAUAGUGUCAGACAAAUGUAACAUGUCCCUUCUCAGAAUAGUCGCAAGAAGGGUUGGUCUCUGCCUCAAGUAAUUUUCUUUAAGAAAUGCCUUCCUUGCCCCAACAGCAAGAUUUCCCAUUAUGUCUGUGAUGUGUUUUGAUACCCGUGUGUGUAAAUAUGCAUUGCAUUGAGAAGGGGUCCAUGUGACUGUGGCUUUAGAAAUCCAAUAGCCUCCAUCUGCCAGCUAGUGGGGAAGGUCUACACCGGAGUUCAGAGUCCUCUGGCCUCAGCCACACUGACAAGAGAGGCCACAAGGUCCCCACUUAAAGAGCGCUUCAUCUUGGCCAUUGUUGUGUUCAAUUCUCCAAGAACAAAGAGCAAGUCUCUUCCGCUUAACUCCCUCCACACAGGGAACAGUUCCGGGCUCACACGCCCUGUAUGCACGGGUUAGAGCGGAAGUUGGUUCUGGCUGUGUGCUUUGGAGUCUAAAGUCCACAGAGGUGCAUUUAGCUGCUCCAUCAUCUGUGUGAAUCAUAAUAUAUAUAAUGUAAAUAAACUGAGCAACUGAACCUCUUAUGUUCUAUAAUAGAGCACUUUCCUGGUUUUGAAAUCAUUUACGUUCUCCGCAAAUCUAGCAAAAUGGCAGUAAAUGUAUUUUUUCACACUACAGCAUUCUACCCACGCUAUUGCACUGCAACCAGUAUUGUUUGAACAAAGAACCUCAUCUAUCUCUCUAUUUAAAUAAUGUAUGUGCUUAAUAUAUUUUCAGAUAUGUAAUUGUGGUUAAAGGAAACCUAUAUGGAAUCUUGCACAAACCCUCACUGAUGUAAGAAUAAAACUGCUGCUCAUUGAAA
Molecule: long non-coding RNA, 2259 nt
Filed under: Rattus norvegicus (Norway rat)
Lineage: Eukaryota; Metazoa; Chordata; Mammalia; Rodentia; Muridae
Description: long non-coding RNA NONRATT025811
Source: RNAcentral